Molecule: ribosomal RNA, 466 nt
Filed under: uncultured bacterium
Lineage: Bacteria
Description: partial 16S ribosomal RNA
Rfam family: Bacterial small subunit ribosomal RNA
Source: RNAcentral
GAUGAACGCUGGCGGCGUGCUUAACACAUGCAAGUCGAACGGAAAGGCCCAAGCUUGCUUGGGUGCUCGAGUGGCGAACGGGUGAGUAACACGUGGGUGAUCUGCCCUGCACUUUGGGAUAAGCCUGGGAAACUGGGUCUAAUACCGGAUAGGACCAUCGUUUAGUGUCGGUGGUGGAAAGUUUUUCGGUGUGGGAUGAGCUCGCGGCCUAUCAGCUUGUUGGUGGGGUAAUGGCCUACCAAGGCGUCGACGGGUAGCCGGCCUGAGAGGGUGUACGGCCACAUUGGGACUGAGAUACGGCCCAGACUCCUACGGGAGGCAGCAGUGGGGAAUAUUGCACAAUGGGCGCAAGCCUGAUGCAGCGACGCCGCGUGGGGGAUGACGGCCUUCGGGCUGUAAACUCCUUUCGCCAAGGACGAAGCGUUUUGUGACGGUACUUGGAGAAGAAGCACCGGCUAACUACGUG